Long non-coding RNA from Sardina pilchardus (European sardine), 167 nucleotides. RefSeq lists it as uncharacterized. The transcript is spliced from 2 exons. NCBI's taxonomy places the organism in Eukaryota, Metazoa, Chordata, Actinopteri, Clupeiformes, Clupeidae. The record is from RefSeq and is a predicted model, not a curated record.
UUAACCACUGUACUGCAAAAUGUGACCACCCCUGCCCAAGACGUAGCCACCAUUACUGACUCCCAUGAUUCCUCCUGAAGUGGCAAUCAGAAUGCUAAUUCUAAAUGGAAUUCUUGUCAUCUUGGCUUUCUCCAUCUUGAAUUCAAUAAAUGCCAGAUUUUAUCCAA